This 451-nucleotide ribosomal RNA is filed under the name uncultured bacterium. RNAcentral's name for it is "bacterial SSU rRNA". It matches the Rfam family "Bacterial small subunit ribosomal RNA", at positions 354 to 796 of the family's 1533-position model. The record is from RNAcentral.
GUGGGGAAUUUUGCGCAAUGGGCGAAAGCCUGACGCAGCAACGCCGCGUGAGUGAUGAAGGCCUUCGGGUCGUAAAGCUCUGUCAGGGGGGAAGAACCGCCAGGUGGCUAAUACCCGCUUGGUCUGACGGUACCCUCAAAGGAAGCACCGGCUAACUCCGUGCCAGCAGCCGCGGUAAUACGGAGGGUGCAAGCGUUGUUCGGAAUUAUUGGGCGUAAAGCGCGUGUAGGCGGUUUGUUAAGUCUGGUGUGAAAGCCCUGGGCUCAACCUGGGAAGUGCAUUGGAUACUGGCAAACUUGAGUACGGGAGAGGAUAGUGGAAUUUCGAGUGUAGGGGUGAAAUCCGUAGAUAUUCGAAGGAACACCGGUGGCGAAGGCGGCUAUCUGGACCGAUACUGACGCUGAGACGCGAAAGCGUGGGGAGCAAACAGGAUUAGAUACCCCAGUAGUCC